UUGAAUAAAUUUGGUUGGGUUGCUGCUGGCUUUUCGGAGCAUGUGCACGCCUAGCGCCAUUUUUAACCACCUGUGCACUUUUUGUAGAUUUGAAACACCUCUCGAGGAAACUCGGUUUGAGGAACUGCUAUGCGAAAGCUAAGCUCUCCUUGCGUUUCAAGUCUAUGUUUUUAUAUACCCCACAAGAAUGUUUUAGAAUGUCAUUAAUGGGCUUUAUUGCCUCUAAAUUAAUA
Molecule: unclassified non-coding RNA, 233 nt
Filed under: uncultured Clitocybe
Lineage: Eukaryota; Fungi; Basidiomycota; Agaricomycetes; Agaricales; Tricholomataceae
Description: sequence contains ITS1
Source: RNAcentral